RNAcentral lists this ribosomal RNA (791 nucleotides) under Streptomyces sp. RNAcentral's name for it is "bacterial SSU rRNA". It matches the Rfam family "Bacterial small subunit ribosomal RNA", at positions 67 to 873 of the family's 1533-position model. Lineage: Bacteria; Bacillati; Actinomycetota; Actinomycetes; Kitasatosporales; Streptomycetaceae. The record is from RNAcentral.
CGAUGAACCACUUCGGUGGGGAUUAGUGGCGAACGGGUGAGUAACACGUGGGCAAUCUGCCCUGCACUCUGGGACAAGCCCUGGAAACGGGGUCUAAUACCGGAUACGAGUUCCACGGGCAUCCGUGGGACUGGAAAGCUCCGGCGGUGCAGGAUGAGCCCGCGGCCUAUCAGCUUGUUGGUGAGGUAAUGGCUCACCAAGGCGACGACGGGUAGCCGGCCUGAGAGGGCGACCGGCCACACUGGGACUGAGACACGGCCCAGACUCCUACGGGAGGCAGCAGUGGGGAAUAUUGCACAAUGGGCGAAAGCCUGAUGCAGCGACGCCGCGUGAGGGAUGACGGCCUUCGGGUUGUAAACCUCUUUCAGCAGGGAAGAAGCGAAAGUGACGGUACCUGCAGAAGAAGCGCCGGCUAACUACGUGCCAGCAGCCGCGGUAAUACGUAGGGCGCAAGCGUUGUCCGGAAUUAUUGGGCGUAAAGAGCUCGUAGGCGGCUUGUCGCGUCGGUUGUGAAAGCCCGGGGCUUAACCCCGGGUCUGCAGUCGAUACGGGCAGGCUAGAGUUCGGUAGGGGAGAUCGGAAUUCCUGGUGUAGCGGUGAAAUGCGCAGAUAUCAGGAGGAACACCGGUGGCGAAGGCGGAUCUCUGGGCCGAUACUGACGCUGAGGAGCGAAAGCGUGGGGAGCGAACAGGAUUAGAUACCCUGGUAGUCCACGCCGUAAACGGUGGGCACUAGGUGUGGGCAACAUUCCACGUUGUCCGUGCCGCAGCUAACGCAUUAAGUGCCCCGCC